GAUGAAGAACGUAGCGAAAUGCGAUAAGUAAUGUGAAUUGCAGAAUUCAGUGAAUCAUCGAAUCUUUGAACGCACAUUGCGCCCGCCAGUAUUCUGGCGGGCAUGCCUGUUCGAGCGUCAUUUCAACCAUCAAGCCCCCCGGCUUGUGUUGGGGACCUGCGGCUGCCGCAGGCCCUGAAAACCAGUGGCGGGCUCGCUAGUCACUCCGAGCGUAGUAAUACAUCUCGCUCAGGGCGUGCUGCGGGUUCCGGCCGUUAAAAAGCCUUAUUUACCCAAGGUUGACCUCGGAUCAGGUAGGAAGACCCGCUGAACUUAAGCAUAUCAAUAAGCGGAGGA
RNAcentral lists this unclassified non-coding RNA (336 nucleotides) under soil metagenome. RNAcentral describes it as "partial contains 5.8S ribosomal RNA, internal transcribed spacer 2, and large subunit ribosomal RNA". The stretch from base 1 to 120 matches the Rfam family "5.8S ribosomal RNA", at positions 35 to 154 of the family's 154-position model. The record is from RNAcentral.